This 522-nucleotide ribosomal RNA is filed under the name Catonidia guadunensis. RNAcentral's name for it is "partial 16S ribosomal RNA". It matches the Rfam family "Bacterial large subunit ribosomal RNA", at positions 1808 to 2610 of the family's 2925-position model. Lineage: Eukaryota; Metazoa; Arthropoda; Insecta; Hemiptera; Achilidae. The record is from RNAcentral.
UCAAAACAUGUCUUUUAGUAAUAUUUUAAAAGUCGGUCCUGCUCAGUGAAUUUUAAAUAGCCGCGGUAUAUUAACUGUGCAAAGGUAGCAUAAUAAUUAGUCUUUUAAUUGAGGUCUGGAAUGAAUGGUUUGACGAGAAAGUGACUUUAUUAAUAUUUUUUUUUGAAAUUAAAUUUCAAGUUAAAAUGCUUGAUUAUUAAAGAGGGACGAUAAGACCCUAUAGAUCUUAAUUUUGUUAAUUUAUAAAUUUUUUUUAGUUAUUUUUUUAUAUUUUAUUAAAAAUUUUGCUGGGGAGGUAAUCAAACCUUUUAUCUUUGUAUAUUUAACCAUUAAUUUAUGUUUAUUUGAUCCUUAAUAUUUGGAUAUUAGAAAAAGAUACCUUAGGGAUAACAGCGUUAUAUUUUUGAAUAGUUCAUAUUGAUAAAAAUGAUUGCGACCUCGAUGUUGGAUUAAUAUUUGUUUAUGGGGUAGGUUUCAUAAUACUAGGUCUGUUCGACCUUUAAAAUUUUACAUGAUCUGUUU